GAUGAACGCUAGCGCUAGGCUUAACACAUGCAAGUCGAGGGGCAGCAUGGUCUUAGCUUGCUAAGACUGAUGGCGACCGGCGCACGGGUGCGUAACGCGUAUGCAACUUGCCUCACAGAGGGGGAUAACCCGUCGAAAGACGGACUAAUACCGCGUACACUCCAUCUUGGGCAUCCAAGGUAGAGGAAAUGAAAUUCGCUGUGAGAUAGGCAUGCGUCCCAUUAGCUAGUUGGUGAGGUAACGGCUCACCAAGGCGACGAUGGGUAGGGGAACUGAGAGGUUGAACCCCCACACUGGUACUGAGACACGGACCAGACUCCUACGGGAGGCAGCAGUGAGGAAUAUUGGUCAAUGGGCGAGAGCCUGAACCAGCCAAGUCGCGUGAAGGAUGACUGUCUUAUGGAUUGUAAACUUCUUUUAUACGGGAAUAACAAGAGUCACGUGUGACUCCCUGCAUGUACCGUAUGAAUAAGCAUCGGCUAACUCCGUG
Molecule: ribosomal RNA, 490 nt
Filed under: uncultured bacterium
Lineage: Bacteria
Description: partial 16S ribosomal RNA
Rfam family: Bacterial small subunit ribosomal RNA
Source: RNAcentral